RNAcentral lists this ribosomal RNA (253 nucleotides) under uncultured bacterium. RNAcentral's name for it is "partial 16S ribosomal RNA". It matches the Rfam family "Bacterial small subunit ribosomal RNA", at positions 524 to 776 of the family's 1533-position model. The record is from RNAcentral.
UACGUAGGGUGCAAGCGUUGUCCGGAAUUAUUGGGCGUAAAGAGCUCGUAGGCGGUCUGUCGCGUCGGAUGUGAAAAUCCAGGGCUCAACCCUGGACCUGCAUUCGAUACGGGCAGACUAGAGUUCGGUAGGGGAAACUGGAAUUCCUGGUGUAGCGGUGAAAUGCGCAGAUAUCAGGAGGAACACCGGUGGCGAAGGCGGGUCUCUGGGCCGAAACUGACGCUGAGGAGCGAAAGCGUGGGGAGCAAACAGG